CUUAUAGCUAAAUCUCUCUAUGAUACUCGUUGGGAUAGUCGGAUAAAGAGUGUUCAAGCUAUUAGAUAUCAAGUGCCUCAGUUAAGAAAAGCUAUAUUGGAGUUGCAGAGAACUUCUAAUGAUGACCCCAAAACUAAGAGUGAUGCAAAAUCUUUGGUUACUGCACUUGGAAAUUUUGAAUUCUUAGUUGGCAUGGUCAUUUGGCACGAUAUUUUAUUUACUAUCAAAAUGGUCAGUAAGAAGUUGCAGUCUGAGUUUAUGAAGUACCGAAAUGACGGCUUUACAUCCAGUGUGAACAUUGCAAAAUCUAUUGCAUCUGACAUGGAUAUAGACCCUGUAUUUCCUGUAAAAUGUCAUGUUAUCAGAAAAAAGCACUUUGAUGAAACUAAUGGCAGCAAAGAAAAUAAUCAAAUGGAAGAAGCGCAAGCAGUUGCAGAGGAAUCAUUUCAAGUAAAAUACUUCCUGGUGAUGAUAGAUGUUGCAAUUAAUUCCCUGACCACCAGAUUUGAUGAUCUUAUGUCAUUUGGGAGUAUAUUUGGCUUCUUAUUCAACUCUAAAAAAUUGAAAUCCUUGGAUGAUAAUGACCUGAGAAGAUGUUGCGCUAAUUUUGCAAAGACUUUUUCUCAUGACAACUCAGCAGAUGUUGACUUGGAUGAUUUUGUUUCUGAACUGAAAGUGUUGCAAAUGACAUUGCCAAAUACAGUCAGGUCAGCAGAUCAGAUAUUUGAGUUUGUUAGAGCUGCAGAUUGCUAUCCAAACGUGUCAACUGCUUACCGAAUUCUCUUAACUAUGCAUGUGACGGUAGCAUCAGGUGAACGAAGUUUUUUAAAAUUGAAGUUGUUGAAAAAUUAUUUGAGGUCAACUAUGUCGCAAGAAAGAUUGAAUGGAUUGGCAAUAUGUUGUAUUGAGAAGGAUGUGUUGGAUAACAUUGAUCUUGAUACUGUCGUUAAUGAUUUUGCAUCAAAAAAUGCACGAAGGAGCCGUUUCUCAUGA
RNAcentral lists this ribosomal RNA (993 nucleotides) under Triticum aestivum (bread wheat). RNAcentral describes it as "partial small subunit ribosomal RNA". The record is from RNAcentral. Lineage: Eukaryota; Viridiplantae; Streptophyta; Magnoliopsida; Poales; Poaceae.